CUCAGGGCAUUGAGCACAGACUGAAUGACUCAGUGACGCUUGGAUCAGCUCAGAUCAAAUUCUCAAGCAAACAGAUGGCUGGGGAUAUUCAGUAACAACGGUGAGGAGAGAGAGGAACAAUUCACAUUCGAAGUGACCCUUCCUCAGAAACGGUCUGUUCUGAAGGAACUUUCCCGCAGAAAUCACUGGAUUGAAAGCUUCUGGCAACAAAUGGCCACAAACCGAUCAAAGGUGAAAGUGACGGUGAACCAGACAGAGCAGUCAGUGGCUGCAUAAAGCAGGACGGCGUGGAUAUUACACACGGGGACGGAGUCCAUCAGGAAAUAAAACUGUUCCCCAUAAACAAUGGGAAUGUGUCUCAGGAUCAGGUCGAGGAUAAUGACCAGGAGAUCCGCCACUGCCAUGGCCCCCAGGAUUUAAAAACAGCACCAAGAGAAAAUCCACAAAGAGUAGCUGCCAGGAGACAUUCACUAAAGUUUUCAACUCGGUGGAGACCCCAAUAAUUUCUGAUGUUACUGAGAAACCAAAUCCCAGAAAUCCUAAUCUGUGAGAGCUGACCAUACCCAUUCCAUCUGCAUUAAAAUAAACCUAAGGCCUCACUAGUUGUUUACUCAAGUGGUCUUAACUAUCCAGCUUGGUAACGGUCAUUCAAUCUCUCUCGUAAAAGAAACCAGAACAAAAUAUCCUCUUAAAGCUACUGCAUCAUCACACUCAUCAGCACAUCGAGCUGUCAUACAGGAACCAGGGGUAACCCAAUCAGGCCCUUGGCCCUGUCCAAACGGACGAGGAAGAAGCCAGUCAGUCACUUGAGUCAAUUAUACGGGACCAGGAGGAGGCCAUUCCCACCUCAAUGCACUUACGCAGGGGUAGAAUGAGGUAAUUGAUGCUGAUUCCUGAUGAAUGUCUUAUGCCCAAAACUUCGAUUCCCCUACAGUGCUUUUCCAGCAAACCACUGUCUACUCUGAUCUUCAGCAUCAACAGUGCUCGCUGUCUCCUAAUUGAUGCUCUACCAUGAUGAACAAAUGGAGCAGAGGCUGCACAGACAGACUGCGCCACGUUGUUCCUCGUAGCUCCGUCUGUCAUGAUACACACGUGGGACUUUAACGUGGUUUCCUCGCGGUGAGGAGGGAAGCCAUAUGUCUUGUGUGAAGUCACAAGAAGGCACCUUCCAUCUCCGAGAAGCCAGCCUUGUGUUCUCUAAGUAGGACGGAAGCUGGUGGGAAUGGCUACCUGUUUCAGAUGGAAGGUAUUGUGGCUGCUGUUGGGGAUUGUGAGUAACCUGAUGUUCAGUACGGGUUCACACACCGACUGCACAAUAACGUGGGGAGAGUUAAUUUAGGUGUAUAAACUAUUAGGAAAGCCACGUUAGACUGAUGGAUGGACUCUCACCAAGUUCAAAUAGUGCUGAUUUUGUCCAUGUUAAUCUUGUCUAGUGCACGUCCUGUUCAGUGUAACCUGUAAUGCCUUACUCUGUCCAAGUCUAUUUCCACCCUACGAUCUGCAUGGACAUGUUUACUAUGAUCUGCCUCCACUGCUCAUAAAUAAAGCGUUCCCUGUUCUGAGAUACACAUGACAAUAAAUCAAACCAAUCAA
Molecule: long non-coding RNA, 1593 nt
Organism: Hemiscyllium ocellatum (epaulette shark)
Lineage: Eukaryota; Metazoa; Chordata; Chondrichthyes; Orectolobiformes; Hemiscylliidae
Exons: 3
Source: RefSeq, a predicted model, not a curated record